This 404-nucleotide ribosomal RNA is filed under the name uncultured bacterium. RNAcentral describes it as "bacterial SSU rRNA". It matches the Rfam family "Bacterial small subunit ribosomal RNA", at positions 430 to 826 of the family's 1533-position model. The record is from RNAcentral.
GCACUUUAAGCAGUGAAGAAGACUCCGUGGUUAAUACCCACGGACGAUGACAUUAGCUGCAGAAUAAGCACCGGCUAACUCUGUGCCAGCAGCCGCGGUAAUACAGAGGGUGCAAGCGUUAAUCGGAAUUACUGGGCGUAAAGCGAGCGUAGGUGGCUUGAUAAGUCAGAUGUGAAAUCCCCGGGCUUAACCUGGGAACUGCAUCUGAAACUGUUAGGCUAGAGUAGGUGAGAGGGAAGUAGAAUUUCAGGUGUAGCGGUGAAAUGCGUAGAGAUCUGAAGGAAUACCGAUGGCGAAGGCAGCUUCCUGGCAUCAUACUGACACUGAGGCUCGAAAGCGUGGGUAGCAAACAGGAUUAGAUACCCUGGUAGUCCACGCCGUAAACGAUGUCUACUAGUCGUUGG